This 250-nucleotide long non-coding RNA is filed under the name Setaria viridis. RNAcentral describes it as "long non-coding RNA (SVIR_LNC001445)". Lineage: Eukaryota; Viridiplantae; Streptophyta; Magnoliopsida; Poales; Poaceae. The record is from RNAcentral.
AGAGCCGCCUUGUAGCCGUGGUGAUCGCCACCGAGUAGCCGCCGUGAUCGCCGCCGUCCUGCCGCCCAUCACAACGUAGUAGGCACCGCCCGUGGUUCCGGUGAACCGCCUCCGCCGUAUCGCCGCCCUGACCGCCGCCGUCCCGCCUCCGCCGCCCUUAUCGCCGCCGUAGAAAUUCGUCAAAAUUCGUAGAAAUUCGUAGAAAUUUGUAGAAAUUCAUAGAAAAUCGUAGAAAUUUGUAGAAAUUCAU